Long non-coding RNA from Chinchilla lanigera (long-tailed chinchilla), 1720 nucleotides. RefSeq lists it as uncharacterized. Lineage: Eukaryota; Metazoa; Chordata; Mammalia; Rodentia; Chinchillidae. The transcript is spliced from 3 exons. The record is from RefSeq and is a predicted model, not a curated record.
UGCACUGAGCUCCAUCUCCACCCCUUUUUGUUUUUAAUUUUGAGACAGGGUCCCACUAACUCCCCAACAUCCCCAGGUAGGGCUCCUAGUUGUGAUCUUCCUGCCUCAGCCUCCCAGCGUGCUGCGGUAACAGGCCUGCGGGGGCGGCAGUCACACGACUCACACAUUUGUCACAACUCAAAGACCUGCCCACUGCGGGUAGGGUGAGCGUGGCUGCGUGUCAACAACACUUGUAUCACAAACCUGGCCUGAAGGGCGCACUGGGGGUGGGGGUGGGGUGGCCUCCUGUCCCCUGACCUCUGGCUCCACCAGUGCAGACGCUGCCAUUUCCGCCUGGUCUGGUUUUCAAAUCACAUCCGUCCCUGACAGUCCCACAGUCAGUCUGCAAACUCUGCCACAGAGACAGCAAACUGUCACCGCAGUGAGUGGCAACCACGGGUGUGGCCUGGCCGCUUCCUAGGACGCCGUGUCCCCAAAGCCCCCGGAUGCCAUACGCAGGUGGGCAUGGGGAGGGACACUGGAACCUGCUUGUCUCCACCGCUCCCGAGGCCCAGAGCGACACUCCAGAAAUAGCCGCACUAAUUCCUCCCGAGGGCAGAAGGCAGGGGACACGGGCAUAAAUAACUGCGUGGCCGCAGCGACCGUCCCCAGGCCAGCACCGGCCCUGCCAGCUGCUGGAUGUCCGUCUCCCUGCGAUGUGCCCAGGCCAGCCUCCAGCAGGGACAGCGGCUGCUCUCGCUCUAGUCACCAACUCAGAGGCAGCCCAGGUCCUUCAAGGUCAAGCUCCAGAGCCCCCUCCGGGCAAAGCCUUCCCUAAUCCCUCAGCACCAGCCACUCCUUCUGCCAUCACAGACAUGGUCCUUCCUCAGGGACCCAUGGCUUCCUGCAAUAAGGACCUCCAGGCCAUUGUGGAUGGCAGGGCUGGUGACACUUCACAACUCUAGGGGGAGUUUGUUUAUGUCACAGUCUGAGUGAAACAUGCCUGCAGAAUUGAGCAGUAUACAACCUGUGCAACUGCACAUGACAGUCUUGAGUGCUUUCCACAGCCUAUAUUACCAAGACCACUUUGGCAGUUUGCAUCCUUCAGCAGACUUGUGCUCUCAGGCGGGGGCACUCGGUCCUCUACACACACACCCAGAACCUGACACUGCCUGGACCUAGACUCCAUGACUACGCAUCUCAGCAGGGUCUUGCUUUGCACCCUGACUUGGCCUCGAAGUUGCAAUCUUCCUGCCUCAGCCUCCCGAAUGCUGAGAUUACAGGUCCCCACCCCUACAUAGCCAUAACGGCAGACAAGGCGGGAGAGAGCGUCUGGGACAUCGUGUGCUCCUAACACAAGCCUGGCUGCAGGCCAGGUGUCCAUCGGCAGGAGUACAGCAGAACGACAACAGCAGGAUUACCCGCUUGACACCAACGAGCCAUGGGGACGAGCCCAGCUGGUGAUAGCACAGGAGGUGGAAAAACAAGUUCCCAGUGUCACGUACAGCAUGGUGCCCUCUCUACAGAGUUAAAGCAGCCUUGAUUGAAAAAUACACCUCAAGGGCUGGGGAUAUAGCUCAGCGGCGUAAGUGCUUGCCUGGCAAGCCUGAAGUCAUGAGUUCGAUUCCUGGUGCCCCCCAAAAAAGAAAAAAGAAAAAAGGAAAGAAAAAAUGAGGCUGGGCCUGUUGGGGAAAGCCCAUGAGCCAAGCCCUCUGGAGGCUGAGGCAGGAAGAUUGCCAAG